This 503-nucleotide ribosomal RNA is filed under the name uncultured bacterium. RNAcentral describes it as "bacterial SSU rRNA". It matches the Rfam family "Bacterial small subunit ribosomal RNA", at positions 8 to 507 of the family's 1533-position model. The record is from RNAcentral.
AGAGUUUGAUCCUGGCUCAGAUUGAACGCUGGCGGAAUGCUUUACACAUGCAAGUCGAGCGGCAGCGCGGGGGCAACCCUGGCGGCGAGCGGCGAACGGGUGAGUAACAUAUCGGAACGUACCCCGUCGUGGGGGAUAACACAGCGAAAGCUGUGCUAAUACCGCAUACGACCUGAGGGUGAAAGCGGGGGAUCGCAAGACCUCGCGCGAUGGGAGCGGCCGAUAUCGGAUUAGCUUGUUGGUGAGGUAAAGGCUCACCAAGGCGACGAUCCGUAGCUGGUCUGAGAGGACGACCAGCCACACUGGAACUGAGACACGGUCCAGACUCCUACGGGAGGCAGCAGUGGGGAAUUUUGGACAAUGGGGCAACCCUGAUCCAGCCAUUCCGCGUGAGUGAAGAAGGCCUUCGGGUUGUAAAGCUCUUUCAGCAGGAACGAAACGGUGGCCACUAAUACUGGCUACUAAUGACGGUACCUGAAGAAGAAGCACCGGCUAACUACGUG